This 1443-nucleotide ribosomal RNA is filed under the name Triticum aestivum (bread wheat). Its description in RNAcentral is "partial small subunit ribosomal RNA". Lineage: Eukaryota; Viridiplantae; Streptophyta; Magnoliopsida; Poales; Poaceae. The record is from RNAcentral.
AUGGAUAUAGAUGAUGUGAUCUGCAGCUUGCGUGUUGUUGGCGUGCCAACCAAGAGUGCUAUAUACACAUGGGGAUAUAACCAGAGUGGCCAGACUGCACGCAAGGGCAAGGAGCGCCACCUGAGGAUCCCCAAGAGCCUACCUCCCAAACUAUUCACCUGUAGGGAUGGCGAGAACCUCAGAUGGAUUGAUAUUGCAUGUGGCCGUGCACACACUGCUGCAGUCGUUUCUGACGGAUCACUCUUCACCUGGGGUGCAAAUGACUUUGGCCAGUUGGGAGAUGGAACAGAGGAGAGUGCAAAGGAACCUAAAAAGGUCAAUGCACUGGCGACUGAGUUUGUGAAAUCGGUGUCCUGUGGUGCACACUGUACAGCUGCUAUUGCUGAACCUCGAGAAAAUGAUGGCACAAUAUCGAGAAGCAGGUUAUGGGUUUGGGGACAAAAUCAGGGCUCAGAUUACCCUCGCCUAUACUGGGGUGCUUUUGCACCAAACACGGUAAUUCGGCAGGUUUCUUGUGGAGCUGUUCAUGUGGUGGCCCUAUCGGAUGAUGGCCUGCUGCAAGCAUGGGGCUACAAUGAGUAUGGUCAGCUUGGCAGAGGUUGUACUUCUGAAGGAUUGCAGGGAGCUCGUGUAUUAAAUGCUUAUGCAAGGUUCCUUGAUGACACACCUGAGCUAGUGAAGAUUGUUAGAGUAUCAUGUGGAGAGUACCAUGCAGCAGCUAUAUCAGAAAACGGGGAGGUGUAUACAUGGGGACUUGGAAGCCUGGGGCAGCUUGGGCAUCGCUCGCUUCAGUCUGGAGAUAAGGAGCUAAUCCCAAGGCGAGUUGUUGCCCUUGAAGGAAUAGUAAUUAGGGAUGUGUCUUGUGGUGGGGUUCACUCUUGUGCUGUGACGGAAGGUGGAGCCCUCUACUGUUGGGGAGGAGGACAUGUGGGCCAACUGGGGCUUGGACCUCAGAAUGGUUUCUUUUCAUGCGCUCUUAAUGGAUCCGACAUGCUACUUCGUAACAUUCCAGUCCUGGUCAUACCAUCAGGUGUCCGGCUUGUUACUUGUGGUCACUCACACACACUUAUAUCGAUGAAAGAUGGCCGUAUAUAUGGAUGGGGCUAUAAUAGUUAUGGUCAGGCAGCUAAUGAGAAAUCUACUUAUGCUUGGUACCCUUCUCCAGUUGAUUGGUGUGUUGGAGAGGUGAGAAGACUUGCCGCAGGUGGUGGACAUUCAGCUGUGUUAACUGAUGCAUCGUCCUUAAAAGAACUAUGUGAGUUUAAGCUAGCAGAGACUGUAAAUAGGUCGAACGCUCGGCUAAUAGAAGACGUUGCAUCACGAACCGGGGCUGAUGCAUUGGCACGCCUGUGUGAGAAAUUAAGGGAACAUUUGGUUGAGCAAGGAGACUCCGAGCUUAUGGAAAUGCACAUGGUUGAAGAGAUCGAGGCCAAAGCCGGUUAG